UUGCUCGCUUUGGCAGCACAUAUACUAAAACUGGAACGAUACAGAGAAGAUCAGCAGGGCCUCUGAGUAAGGAUGACACAAACUUGUGAAGCAUUGUACAUUUUU
This 105-nucleotide small nuclear RNA is filed under the name Chinchilla lanigera (long-tailed chinchilla). Lineage: Eukaryota; Metazoa; Chordata; Mammalia; Rodentia; Chinchillidae. The record is from RNAcentral.